Long non-coding RNA from Saccostrea cuccullata (small rock oyster), 159 nucleotides. RefSeq lists it as uncharacterized. Lineage: Eukaryota; Metazoa; Mollusca; Bivalvia; Ostreida; Ostreidae. The record is from RefSeq and is a predicted model, not a curated record. The transcript is spliced from 3 exons.
CAGGUAGUGUUUUGACCCAUAGAAGUACAAUGGGACUUUUUUGGUCUUCCACAAAUACGAAUUGUAGUGGUAUAAGUGUGGAAUUAAGAACUGAAAUAGAGAAGAAAUACACAGAAAUAUGGAGUGAGAUUAACAGUUUAAAAGAUGGAAGGAAAGGUA